UUCACUCUUUUUUCUCUCCAGCCAUCUGCC
RNAcentral lists this non-coding RNA (30 nucleotides) under Mus musculus (house mouse). Lineage: Eukaryota; Metazoa; Chordata; Mammalia; Rodentia; Muridae. The record is from RNAcentral.